GGUUAAGCGACUAAGCGUACACGGUGGAUGCCCUGGCAGUCAGAGGCGAUGAAGGGCGUGCUAAUCUGCGAUAAGCGCCGGUAAGGUGAUAUGAGCCGUUAUAACCGGCGAUACCCGAAUGGGGAAACCCAGUGUGACUCGUCACACUAUCAUUAACUGAAUCCAUAGGUUAAUGAGGCGAACCGGGGGAACUGAAACAUCUAAGUACCCCGAGGAAAAGAAAUCAACCGAGAUUCCCCCAGUAGCGGCGAGCGAACGGGGAGGAGCCCAGAGCCUGAAUCAGCAUGUGUGUUAGUGGAAGCGUCUGGAAAGGCGCGCGAUACAGGGUGACAGCCCCGUACACAAAAGCGCAUGUGCUGUGAGCUCGAUGAGUAGGGCGGGACACGUGGUAUCCUGUCUGAAUAUGGGGGGACCAUCCUCCAAGGCUAAAUACUCCUGACUGACCGAUAGUGAACCAGUACCGUGAGGGAAAGGCGAAAAGAACCCCGGCGAGGGGAGUGAAAAAGAACCUGAAACCGUGUACGUACAAGCAGUGGGAGCA
This 541-nucleotide ribosomal RNA is filed under the name Salmonella enterica subsp. enterica serovar Cerro. Its description in RNAcentral is "partial 23S ribosomal RNA". It matches the Rfam family "Bacterial large subunit ribosomal RNA", at positions 1 to 581 of the family's 2925-position model. The record is from RNAcentral. Lineage: Bacteria; Pseudomonadati; Pseudomonadota; Gammaproteobacteria; Enterobacterales; Enterobacteriaceae.